GAUGAACGCUGGCGGCGUGCCUAAUACAUGCAAGUCGAGCGAACAGACGAGGAGCUUGCUCCUCUGACGUUAGCGGCGGACGGGUGAGUAACACGUGGAUAACCUACCUAUAAGACCGGGAUAACUUCGGGAAACUGGAGCUAAUACCGGAUAAUAUAUUGAACCGCAUGGUUCAAUAGUGAAAGACGGUUUUGCUGUCACUUAUAGAUGGAUCCGCGCCGCAUUAGCUAGUUGGUAAGGUAACGGCUUACCAAGGCGACGAUGCGUAGCCGACCUGAGAGGGUGAUCGGCCACACUGGAACUGAGACACGGUCCAGACUCCUACGGGAGGCAGCAGUGGGGAAUCUUCCGCAAUGGGCGAAAGCCUGACGGAGCAACGCCGCGUGAGUGAUGAAGGUCUUCGGAUCGUAAAACUCUGUUAUUAGGGAAGAACAAAUGUGUAAGUAACUAUGCACGUCUUGACGGUACCUAAUCAGAAAGCCACGGCUAACUACGUG
Molecule: ribosomal RNA, 497 nt
Filed under: uncultured bacterium
Lineage: Bacteria
Description: partial 16S ribosomal RNA
Rfam family: Bacterial small subunit ribosomal RNA
Source: RNAcentral